CUGCACCGUAGCGAAAGAAAUAGCUGUAACGGGAGGCAGAAGGUGGGGAAGCAGUGAGGCUAGCGACGGAUCUCGUCCUAUGGCCAUAUAACCUACACGCAGGACGAAAUCUUGUCCGCUGGCUUCUGUCUGCAACUAAAUAUGCGUGUGCCUAAAUGUUAGGGAGCGGGCGAUCGCUGCCAGUAUCAGACGAGCGUGGGGGUUGGUGUCUUUGUCUGCCUGGAAGAUGGCGUCCGACAUGAUGUGAGAAAAUGGCCGCCUGGGUCACAUGUCUGGCGGAGUGUUUCCCACCUGAAGUGAAUUGGUUAGCUGUUCCAGCAACCUUCCUAGCUGGUAGGACCCCAGACAAACCCUAAGGCAUGCAUUCCCAGCAUUUUAUUCACAAGUUCAGAUUGACGACCAUGCGCAGCCAGAACAGGAACCUGAAACCUGAAAUUCUCUCCCACCCCUGUGAUCCUUUCCCCCACCUCCUCACCUAUCUCUCUGGUGAACGUUGGAGCAGCGUUGGCAGAAAGGAAUUUAUAUCUUAGAAAUGAGGGAAAAGUAAAAUUUCUCCGGAAACUGUCUCGAGGACCUUCAGACCUGGCUGACAAGAAAAUGGACUCCCUGACUAAAGGAGCUAUACGUUUUGGAGCCUUCAACCUGACCCAGCAUAAGAAUAGUACAAAUCUUGCUUCAACAAGCUUGUUAAAUGGUGCUUGGUAGUACCCUCGCACACCAAGAUAGUAGCAAACUUGAUAUAACCAUUGACUUGAGGAGCUCCAGUGGCACAAUCAGCGCACAAUACUUAUGUAACCAUUGACUUGCAAAAGCUCUGCUUCCUCUCUUGGACCUCUGCCACAGUUAUAAGAACAUACGUAAGUUAGCCUGCCAAACGGUUGUGAAACACAUGUAGAAAUGACCUUGGUCAUCUCAUCUGAUGUGUCCUAUAGCAGCCAACCUCCAGCUAUACUAUUAGCGGAGUACAGACACAUGAGCUAGGCCAGCUGAACUCAAGAGAGCCUGGUUCUGAUCAUAGGAACUUCCAGUGGACCCAUAGGCGAAGUUUUGGUACAUACGAAUUCAACAUUUUACAAGGAACUAUUGUGGCAGGAGUCUCCUAUCACUGGUUUUCUUUUCCACAGCUAUCUUGGUAAUAUUUGCUUAUUAUUUUCCCUUAUGAACUCUU
Chinchilla lanigera (long-tailed chinchilla) is the source of this 1168-nucleotide long non-coding RNA. RefSeq lists it as uncharacterized. The transcript is spliced from 3 exons. The record is from RefSeq and is a predicted model, not a curated record. NCBI's taxonomy places the organism in Eukaryota, Metazoa, Chordata, Mammalia, Rodentia, Chinchillidae.